RNAcentral lists this unclassified non-coding RNA (336 nucleotides) under soil metagenome. RNAcentral describes it as "partial contains 5.8S ribosomal RNA, internal transcribed spacer 2, and large subunit ribosomal RNA". The stretch from base 1 to 120 matches the Rfam family "5.8S ribosomal RNA", at positions 35 to 154 of the family's 154-position model. The record is from RNAcentral.
GAUGAAGAACGUAGCGAAAUGCGAUAAGUAGUGUGAAUUGCAGAAUUCAGUGAAUCAUCGAAUCUUUGAACGCACAUUGCGCCCCUUGGUAUUCCAUGGGGCAUGCCUGUUCGAGCGUCAUUUGUACCUUCAAGCUUUGCUUAGUGUUGGGUGUUUGUCUCGCCUUUGCGUGUAGACUCGCCUUAAAAUAAUUGGCAGCCGGCGUAUUGAUUGCGGAGCGCAGUACAUCUCGCGCUUUGCACUCAUAACGACAGCGUCCAAAAGUACAUUUUACACUCUUGACCUCGGAUCAGGUAGGGAUACCCGCUGAACUUAAGCAUAUCAAUAAGCGGAGGA